This is a non-coding RNA of Gossypium hirsutum (cotton), 146 nucleotides long. Lineage: Eukaryota; Viridiplantae; Streptophyta; Magnoliopsida; Malvales; Malvaceae. The record is from Rfam.
UAUUAAAAAUUUCAUCUAUUUGUAUUGUUAAAAACUAAUGUGACUGAUAGAAUAACCAAAUAGUGACGUGUGGCGUGCCACGUAUACCUCAUGCUGACGUACAAUGACUACUUAUACAUAGUAGAAAUGGAUAAAGUUUUUUAACA